RNAcentral lists this ribosomal RNA (506 nucleotides) under uncultured bacterium. RNAcentral's name for it is "partial 16S ribosomal RNA". It matches the Rfam family "Bacterial small subunit ribosomal RNA", at positions 29 to 523 of the family's 1533-position model. The record is from RNAcentral.
AGUGAACGCUGGCGGUAGGCCUAACACAUGCAAGUCGAACGGCAGCACAGAGGAGCUUGCUCCUUGGAUGGCGAGUGGCGGACGGGAGAGGAAUACAUCGGAAUCUACUCUGUCGUGGGGGAUAACGUAGGGAAACUUACGCUAAUACCGCAUACGACCUACGGGUGAAAGCAGGGGAUCUUCGGACCUUGCGCGAUUGAAUGAGCCGAUGUCGGAUUAGCUAGUUGGCGGGGUAAAGGCCCACCAAGGCGACGAUCCGUAGCUGGUCUGAGAGGAUGAUCAGCCACACUGGAACUGAGACACGGUCCAGACUCCUACGGGAGGCAGCAGUGGGGAAUAUUGGACAAUGGGCGCAAGCCUGAUCCAGCCAUACCGCGUGGGUGAAGAAGGCCUUCGGGUUGUAAAGCCCUUUUGUUGGGAAAGAAAUCUAUCUGGUUAAUACCCGGGUGGGAUGACGGUACCCAAAGAAUAAGCACCGGCUAACUUCGUGCCAGCAGCCGCAGUAA